GACGAACGCUGGCGGCGUGCCUAAUACAUGCAAGUAGAACGCUGAAGAGAGGAGCUUGCUCUUCUUGGAUGAGUUGCGAACGGGUGAGUAACGCGUAGGUAACCUGCCUGGUAGCGGGGGAUAACUAUUGGAAACGAUAGCUAAUACCGCAUAAAAUGGAUUAUCGCAUGAUAAUCCAUUGAAAGGUGCAAAUGCAUCACUACCAGAUGGACCUGCGUUGUAUUAGCUAGUUGGUGGGGUAACGGCUCAUCAAGGCGACGAUACAUAGCCGACCUGAGAGGGUGAUCGGCCACACUGGGACUGGGACACGGCCCAGACUCCUACGGGAGGCAGCAGUAGGGAAUCUUCGGCAAUGGACGGAAGUCUGACCGAGCAACGCCGCGUGAGUGAAGAAGGUUUUCGGAUCGUAAAGCUCUGUUGUAAGAGAAGAACGAGUGUGAGAGUGGAAAGUUCACACUGUGACGGUAUCUUACCAGAAAGGGACGGCUAACUACGUG
This 497-nucleotide ribosomal RNA is filed under the name uncultured bacterium. RNAcentral's name for it is "partial 16S ribosomal RNA". It matches the Rfam family "Bacterial small subunit ribosomal RNA", at positions 28 to 507 of the family's 1533-position model. The record is from RNAcentral.